This is a non-coding RNA of Cordylochernes scorpioides, 72 nucleotides long. The record is from the annotation of a GenBank genome assembly. Lineage: Eukaryota; Metazoa; Arthropoda; Arachnida; Pseudoscorpiones; Chernetidae.
UAGCAGAGCGUGGUUUUGAUCCGUGGACCUCUGGGUUAUAGGCCCAACAUGCUUUCACUGUGCCACACUGCU